UAUUUCCUUUUAUUUGUUGUUGUGAAUUUUACUCAGAAUUAAAGAUAAAUGAUUAGUAAUUACAGGAAAACUAACUUGUAAAAAUCUUAAAGACAUUGAAUGGGUUAAUGUACUGAGCAGCUACGGAAUGCAAGGCACUGUAGGAGUAGGGUGAGUAUACUCCCCACAAGGGCUCAGGGUCAGGCAGGGGAGGUGAGAUAAAAACCCACAGCCAUACACUAGCUGGCCUGUCCUGAGGGUUGUGAGGCACAAAAUGCUAGGAGACUAGAGAAGUAAGAAAUGUCUUGACAUGAGGAGAAAUCAAGGAAAGCAUGGUUUUAGAACAUGUGUGGGAUGUUUUUUGUAUCGAGACUGAAGAGGCUUUUUAAAGUGGAGGGAAGGCAAACUGAGGCAUAGAGAUGCCAAUACCAGGUCUUGUCAGGAAGAACAGAGUCCAAUUUGGCUGCAGGAUAGGGCAUAUGUAGGGGAGGGGAUAAGACUGGCAUGGGGGCAGAGGGGGACUUGAAUGUCAGGUGACAGAGUCAAAGCUUGCACUCAAGUAGGUGAUUGAUAGGUGAUACUAACUCCCCUGAACCUGUCUCA
RNAcentral lists this long non-coding RNA (582 nucleotides) under Homo sapiens (human). RNAcentral describes it as "HSALNT0089929". Lineage: Eukaryota; Metazoa; Chordata; Mammalia; Primates; Hominidae. The record is from RNAcentral.